Molecule: ribosomal RNA, 713 nt
Filed under: Pseudomonas sp.
Lineage: Bacteria; Pseudomonadati; Pseudomonadota; Gammaproteobacteria; Pseudomonadales; Pseudomonadaceae
Description: partial 16S rRNA
Source: RNAcentral
CAGUCCAGGUGGUCGCCUUCGCCACUGGUGUUCCUUCCUAUAUCUACGCAUUUCACCGCUACACAGGAAAUUCCACCACCCUCUACCGUACUCUAGCUUGCCAGUUUUGGAUGCAGUUCCCAGGUUGAGCCCGGGGCUUUCACAUCCAACUUAACAAACCACCUACGCGCGCUUUACGCCCAGUAAUUCCGAUUAACGCUUGCACCCUCUGUAUUACCGCGGCUGCUGGCACAGAGUUAGCCGGUGCUUAUUCUGUCGGUAACGUCAAAACAGCAAGGUAUUAACUUACUGCCCUUCCUCCCAACUUAAAGUGCUUUACAAUCCGAAGACCUUCUUCACACACGCGGCAUGGCUGGAUCAGGCUUUCGCCCAUUGUCCAAUAUUCCCCACUGCUGCCUCCCGUAGGAGUCUGGACCGUGUCUCAGUUCCAGUGUGACUGAUCAUCCUCUCAGACCAGUUACGGAUCGUCGCCUUGGUGAGCCAUUACCCCACCAACUAGCUAAUCCGACCUAGGCUCAUCUGAUAGCGCAAGGCCCGAAGGUCCCCUGCUUUCUCCCGUAGGACGUAUGCGGUAUUAGCGUUCCUUUCGAAACGUUGUCCCCCACUACCAGGCAGAUUCCUAGGCAUUACUCACCCGUCCGCCGCUGAAUCAAGGAGCAAGCUCCCGUCAUCCGCUCGACUUGCAUGUGUUAGGCCUGCCGCCAGCGUUCAAU